RNAcentral lists this ribosomal RNA (732 nucleotides) under uncultured bacterium. RNAcentral describes it as "bacterial SSU rRNA". It matches the Rfam family "Bacterial small subunit ribosomal RNA", at positions 771 to 1501 of the family's 1533-position model. The record is from RNAcentral.
AACAGGAUUAGAUACCCUGGUAGUGCACGCCGUAAACGAUGAUAACUAGCUGUCCGGGCACUUGGUGCUUGGGUGGCGCAGCUAACGCAUUAAGUUAUCCGCCUGGGGAGUACGGUCGCAAGAUUAAAACUCAAAGGAAUUGACGGGGGCCUGCACAAGCGGUGGAGCAUGUGGUUUAAUUCGAAGCAACGCGCAGAACCUUACCAGCGUUUGACAUGUCCGGACGAUUUCCAGAGAUGGAUCUCUUCCCUUCGGGGACUGGAACACAGGUGCUGCAUGGCUGUCGUCAGCUCGUGUCGUGAGAUGUUGGGUUAAGUCCCGCAACGAGCGCAACCCUCGCCUUUAGUUACCAUCAUUUAGUUGGGGACUCUAAAGGAACCGCCGGUGAUAAGCCGGAGGAAGGUGGGGAUGACGUCAAGUCCUCAUGGCCCUUACGCGCUGGGCUACACACGUGCUACAAUGGCGGUGACAGUGGGCAGCAAACUCGCGAGAGUGCGCUAAUCUCCAAAAGCCGUCUCAGUUCGGAUUGUUCUCUGCAACUCGAGAGCAUGAAGGCGGAAUCGCUAGUAAUCGCGGAUCAGCAUGCCGCGGUGAAUACGUUCCCAGGCCUUGUACACACCGCCCGUCACACCAUGGGAGUUGGGUUCACCCGAAGGCGUUGCGCUAACUCGCAAGAGAGGCAGGCGACCACGGUGGGCUUAGCGACUGGGGUGAAGUCGUAACAAGGUAACC